GAGUAACCUGCCCUUAACUCUGGGAUAAGCCUGGGAAACUGGGUCUAAUACCGGAUAGGAGCGUCCACCGCAUGGUGGGUGUUGGAAAGAUUUAUCGGUUUUGGAUGGACUCGCGGCCUAUCAGCUUGUUGGUGAGGUAAUGGCUCACCAAGGCGACGACGGGUAGCCGGCCUGAGAGGGUGACCGGCCACACUGGGACUGAGACACGGCCCAGACUCCUACGGGAGGCAGCAGUGGGGAAUAUUGCACAAUGGGCGCAAGCCUGAUGCAGCGACGCCGCGUGAGGGAUGACGGCCUUCGGGUUGUAAACCUCUUUCAGUAGGGAAGAAGCGAAAGUGACGGUACCUGCAGAAGAAGCACCGGCUAACUACGUGCCAGCAGCCGCGGUAAUACGUAGGGUGCGAGCGUUAUCCGGAAUUAUUGGGCGUAAAGAGCUCGUAGGCGGUUUGUCGCGUCUGUCGUGAAAGUCCGGGGCUUAACCCCGGAUCUGCGGUGGGUACGGGCAGACUAGAGUGCAGUAGGGGAGACUGGAAUUCCUGGUGUAGCGGUGGAAUGCGCAGAUAUCAGGAGGAACACCGAUGGCGAAGGCAGGUCUCUGGGCUGUAACUGACGCUGAGGAGCGAAAGCAUGGGGAGCGAACAGGAUUAGAUACCCUGGUAGUCCAUGCCGUAAACGUUGGGCACUAGGUGUGGGGACCAUUCCACGGUUUCCGCGCCGCAGCUAACGCAUUAAGUGCCCCGCCUGGGGAGUACGGCCGCAAGGCUAAAACUCAAAGGAAUUGACGGGGGCCCGCACAAGCGGCGGAGCAUGCGGAUUAAUUCGAUGCAACGCGAAGAACCUUACCAAGGCUUGACAUGUUCUCGAUCGCCGUAGAGAUACGGUUUCCCCUUUGGGGCGGGUUCACAGGUGGUGCAUGGUUGUCGUCAGCUCGUGUCGUGAGAUGUUGGGUUAAGUCCCGCAACGAGCGCAACCCUCGUUCCAUGUUGCCAGCACGUCGUGGUGGGGACUCAUGGGAGACUGCCGGGGUCAACUCGGAGGAAGGUGAGGACGACGUCAAAUCAUCAUGCCCCUUAUGUCUUGGGCUUCACGCAUGCUACAAUGGCCGGUACAAUGGGUUGCGAUACUGUGAGGUGGAGCUAAUCCCAAAAAGCCGGUCUCAGUUCGGAUUGGGGUCUGCAACUCGACCCCAUGAAGUCGGAGUCGCUAGUAAUCGCAG
This is a ribosomal RNA of 1216 nucleotides. It matches the Rfam family "Bacterial small subunit ribosomal RNA", at positions 119 to 1347 of the family's 1533-position model.